CCCCCAUGUCAGAACUGCAUUUGGAGUGCCAAUUCAAGGGGAAAUUUGUAUGUUUAAAUACCGCCUUCAGGCCAGAAAAGUUCAGAAACUUCCAUAUUCCUCUUCAAUGUUUUUAUAAACAAUUUGGAUGUAGGACUAGAAGGUGUUUUGAGCAAAUUUGCCGAUGACACCGAACUUGGAGGAGUUGUGGAGUCUGUUGAGGGUGGAAAGGCCUUGCAGAGUGAUCUGGACAGGUUGGAGAGCUGGGCAAUCACUAACCGCAUGAAGUUUAACAAAAGCAAGUGCCAGGUCCUGCACCUGGGAUGGGGCAACCCGGGCUAUGCGUACAGACUGAGUGAUGAAAUGCUGAAGAGCAGCCCCACAAAGAGGGAUCUGGGGGUUGUGGUUGACAGCAAGUUGAAUAUGAGCCAGCAGUGUGCCCUGGCAGCCAGGAGGGCCAACCGUAUCCUGGGGUGCAUCAAGCAUGGCGUUGUUAGUCAGAUGAGGGAAGUGAUUGUCCCGCUCUACUCUGCGCUGGUGCGGCCUCACCUCGAGCACUGUGUGCAGUUCUGGACACCACAGUACAAAAAGGAUGUAAAACUGUUGGAGAGUGUCCAGAGGAGGGCUACGAAGUUGGUGAAGGGACUAGAGGGGAAGACGUAUGAGGAGCAGCUGAGGUCACUUGGCCUCUUCAGCGUGGAAAAGAGGAGGCUGAGGGGAGACCACAUAGCGGUCUACAGCUUCCUCACGAAGGGGAGUGGAGGGGCAGGCACUGAUCUAUUCUCUUUAGUCACCAGUGAUAGGACCCACAGGAAUGGUGUCAAGCUGAGGCAGGGGAGGUUUAGACUAGACAUCAGGAAGAGGUUCUUCACUGAGAGGGCGGUCGCACACUGGAACAGGCUCCCCAGGGAAGUAGUCACUGUACGAAACCUGUCGAAGUUAAGAAGCGUUUAGACUGUGCACUUAGUCACAUGGUCUAAAAUUUUGUGUAGACCUGUGUGGUGCCAGGAGUUGGACUUGAU
This 1001-nucleotide long non-coding RNA is filed under the name Anser brachyrhynchus (Pink-footed goose). Its description in RNAcentral is "lncRNA (ENSABRG00000006204.1)". The record is from RNAcentral. Lineage: Eukaryota; Metazoa; Chordata; Aves; Anseriformes; Anatidae.